CAAUAGCGUAUAUUAAAGUUGUUGCGGUUAAAAAGCUCGUAGUUGGAUUUCUGCUGAGAACGACCGGUCCGCCCUUUGGGUGUGUAUCUGGCUCUUUCUUGGCAUCUUCUUGGUGAACGUUGCUGCACUUGACUGUGUGGAGCGCUACCCAGGACUUUUACUUUGAGGAAAUUAGAGUGUUUCAAGCAGGCAUACGCCUUGAAUACAUUAGCAUGGAAUAAUAAGAUAGGACCUCGGUUCUAUUUUGUUGGUUUCUAGAGCUGAGGUAAUGAUUAAUAGGGAUAGUUGGGGGCAUUCGUAUUUAACUGUCAGAGGUGAAAUUCUUAGAUUCGUUGAGGACCAACCACUGCGAAAGCAUUUGUCAAGGAUGUCUNCAUUAA
Molecule: ribosomal RNA, 380 nt
Filed under: uncultured eukaryote
Lineage: Eukaryota
Description: partial 18S ribosomal RNA
Rfam family: Eukaryotic small subunit ribosomal RNA
Source: RNAcentral